This 425-nucleotide ribosomal RNA is filed under the name uncultured bacterium. Its description in RNAcentral is "partial 16S ribosomal RNA". It matches the Rfam family "Bacterial small subunit ribosomal RNA", at positions 354 to 796 of the family's 1533-position model. The record is from RNAcentral.
GUGGGGAAUCUUGCGCAAUGGGCGAAAGCCUGACGCAGCCAUGCCGCGUGAAUGAUGAAGGUCUUAGGAUUGUAAAAUUCUUUCACCGGGGACGAUAAUGACGGUACCCGGAGAAGAAGCCCCGGCUAACUUCGUGCCAGCAGCCGCGGUAAUACGAAGGGGGCUAGCGUUGCUCGGAUUUACUGGGCGUAAAGGGCGCGUAGGCGGACAUUUAAGUCAGGGGUGAAAUCCCGGGGCUCAACCUCGGAACUGCCUUUGAUACUGGGUGUCUUGAGUAUGAGAGAGGUGUGUGGAACUCCGAGUGUAGAGGUGAAACUCGUAGAUAUUCGGAAGAACACCAGUGGCGAAGGCGACACACUGGCUCAUUACUGACGCUGAGGCGCGAAAGCGUGGGGAGCAAACAGGAUUAGAUACCCUUGUAGUCC